Molecule: ribosomal RNA, 468 nt
Filed under: Acinetobacter sp. DM90
Lineage: Bacteria; Pseudomonadati; Pseudomonadota; Gammaproteobacteria; Moraxellales; Moraxellaceae
Description: bacterial SSU rRNA
Rfam family: Bacterial small subunit ribosomal RNA
Source: RNAcentral
GAUGAACGCUGGCGGCAGGCUUAACACAUGCAAGUCGAGCGGAUGAAGGUAGCUUGCUACCGGAUUCAGCGGCGGACGGGUGAGUAAUGCUUAGGAAUCUGCCUAUUAGUGGGGGACAACGUUCCGAAAGGGGCGCUAAUACCGCAUACGUCCUACGGGAGAAAGCAGGGGACCUUCGGGCCUUGCGCUAAUAGAUGAGCCUAAGUCGGAUUAGCUAGUUGGUAGGGUAAAGGCCUACCAAGGCGACGAUCUGUAGCGGGUCUGAGAGGAUGAUCCGCCACACUGGGACUGAGACACGGCCCAGACUCCUACGGGAGGCAGCAGUGGGGAAUAUUGGACAAUGGGGGGAACCCUGAUCCAGCCAUGCCGCGUGUGUGAAGAAGGCCUUUUGGUUGUAAAGCACUUUAAGCGAGGAGGAGGCUACCUAGAUUAAUACUUUAGGAUAGUGGACGUACUCGCAGAAUAAGC